Molecule: unclassified non-coding RNA, 243 nt
Filed under: Hevea brasiliensis (rubber tree)
Lineage: Eukaryota; Viridiplantae; Streptophyta; Magnoliopsida; Malpighiales; Euphorbiaceae
Source: RNAcentral
GAAGCUUUCCAAAGCAUAAGGCAACAGAAGAAUGGCGAAGAAAAAGAAUCGCCAUCAUUUUGAUGCUGAUGCUGGGUCAUAUACAAGGAAAAUUGGGUUGACCAAGGCGUAUGUGAAACUGAAGGAGACCAUAAGCUAACCCCACUCUUGAAGAAAUGCAUUUCCACUUGUCUAAUAGGGCUGUUUCUCUCAUUUCUGUGUAACAAAAAAGCUAAGCCACUUUGUUAAAAGGGAGCAUUACCA